GUAGCUUAAUGGUAGAGUGCUUGCCUUGUAUGCAUGAGGUCCUGGGUUCAAUUCCUCAGC
This 60-nucleotide transfer RNA is filed under the name Dipodomys ordii (Ord's kangaroo rat). It matches the Rfam family "tRNA", at positions 7 to 64 of the family's 71-position model. From Rfam's summary of the family: Transfer RNA (tRNA) molecules are approximately 80 nucleotides in length. Their secondary structure includes four short double-helical elements and three loops (D, anti-codon, and T loops). The record is from Rfam by way of RNAcentral. Lineage: Eukaryota; Metazoa; Chordata; Mammalia; Rodentia; Heteromyidae.